UCAGCAUCUUUGAUUAUUGUAAUGUCCUGCCUUCUGUGUGACUAUCUUGCUUUUGAUGAGGAAAGUGGUAAAGUUUAUAAGACAAUGCUUCUUCUAACAGUAAAUCCAAAUCUUAAAAAGUUAAAUGGCAAUUAAGCAUCAAGCAUUUGUUUUAUUUUCUUUAAUACAGAUACAUUUUACUAAUUGAAAGCAAAACAAUACAUAUAAAAGCAGCAAUUCACAGCUUUAGAUAUCAGCUCCAAAUUAAAAUAAGCACCAUUUGCAAUCAGCAAUGUUCAUAUGCCACAUAUAUGUAUGUACAGCUGGUACAAAAUUAAAUCUGAUUACUGUUUGUGUUGUAUGCAUGCUGCAUAUAAAGUAGUUUGUCACUGCCCCCAAAAAGAAUAAAUCCUUAGAAAACUAUGAAUACCGAAAUACACAGAAAUGCUGAAAAUUCAGAAAUACUGAAAAAAUAGAAAGAUUAAUGGUGUGCAAUGAGAAAGAAAAUAAAAAUGACAGAACAGAUACAACCAACAUCUCAUUAGAUGCUGAGUUUUGUACAUUUGAAAUAAAUUUUAUCUAGUAUGCCUUGUUUCUGAUAACAUGUCACUGAGUUAUACAUAACAAGUUCUUGCUUAUUGUUCAGUAGACACAAUUUUUGCAUCUAUUUGUGCAAAAUUAACUGUUGACUCCCACAGAUUUUGUACUCUUUACAAAUGGUGCCUGGAAGACUUUGUGAGCCUUAUGGAAGUUGAGUCAUGGCAACUGGACUUCUUUUCUUAUUGGUUCAAAAUGUUUUGUUGCUUAUCCAAGUAGCUUCUUCAGUUUGAGCAAGUUGGUUAGGACGGCCCCAUAUAUGUCAUCCAGAGAAGUUUCAUUUCUCACCUAGUCUCAUUAGAUGAGUAGGCAGAGAGUUAUUGGGAAGUACAUUUUACAGCUCCUAAACCCUUUAUCUUAAAUGGGUCCUUAAGUAUAGCCUCCCCAGAGAACAGGUAAAGUAGUCUUAAUCUUUCUGGGAACCGAUGAAAGAGCAGCAUAAAAAAUUAUGGACAGGUUGGGCCUGAGGCCUCCAUCUUUAAUGAGGGAAGAAUUUUCCACUUUGGAAUAAAUGGAUUUCUUCACUCCUCUCUCAAACCAUCUACCUUCUCUGUCCAAAAUGUGAAUAUUAUUGUCCUUUAAAAAGUCUCUUCUUUUUUUUGUAAUGAACAUAUGCUGCUGAUUCUGCUCCUGUGUUGUUGCUUCUCUUGUACUGAGCCAUUCUCUUGUGUAAAGGCUACUUGGUUUCUCCAAUGUAGAGCUCUGAGCCCUCCUCACUAAGCUGGACUGCAUGUACUACAUUACUUUUCUGUAAUUAUUUUAUUUUUAUUUUUCUGUUCUUCUAAACCAGGAAAAAUAUACAUAAAUGAAUGAGCUAAAAGAGGGAUGGGUUUUGGCAGUGCCAACAUUCCUUUCUGUAUCCAGUCAUCACUAAUUGAGAUUCCAAAAACUGGUGCUGUGCUUCCCUACUGUUUUCAGUCUCCUUACAACCAGAGAGGAGACCAGACAGUUAUGAGCCUGAGGAGCCAGCAGGCAGAAACCUACAGCAACUUCAAAAGAAAAUCUGACUGAGCAGAUUUCUCCUGUUAGUGUUUCUGAGUUUCCAGACAAGAUAACUGGCAUAAUUUUCUGGUAGCCGUCUGCUUCACUGGUUAUCUAGUCUUUUUCAUAUGAAAAACACAAAUAUGAUAAGGGAAUUCAACCAAAAGAUAAGAAAUCAAGGAAGUUUCAGAUCAUCAAACAGGUAAUUGUAUAACUACCUAUAUCUUUAGCCAUCUUAUAAAUAAAUAUGGCAAGAACACCAUAUUUAUAGUAUAAGAAUUUCUAAAAAAUAUUUUCUUUCGAAACAAUUUUCAAAAGCAUAAGUCCUGGUAAGAAAGAAAUGUUGUGGAAAUUUUCUUCAUGGCCUUAUAGCAAACUAUUAAUUCUAUAAAAAGGAAUGGCUGAAAUGUAAAAUGGGAACUACAAGGCUGCCCUGUGAUUGCUAGCUGAGUCUAAAUGAUACUAGCUGCAUUCUUUCAGAACCAAAGCUAAUCAAGUCAACACUUAUAAAAUCUUACAUUACCAUUCAAUUAUCAGUUCCUGCCUUUCCAUGAUACCACUUGAAAUUCUGUAUAAAAUUUGUUAUGAAAAGGCAUGCUAUUCGCUAUGCCUUCAUAGUACAUUGAGGGCAAGAUUUGCUCCAUCAUUAGGAGUAGUGCCUAGGAGGUACAAAUAUACAAUUAUCAAGAUAGAUGAGGCAAGGCAAAUGUUGGAGAUGUGGCAAUAAAGAUGCGACAUAUUUUCAUAUUUGGUGGAAUUGUAAAAAAGUAAAGGCAUUUUGGAUUAUGAUUUGG
This is a long non-coding RNA of Crotalus tigris (Tiger rattlesnake), 2351 nucleotides long. RefSeq lists it as uncharacterized. The transcript is spliced from 3 exons. NCBI's taxonomy places the organism in Eukaryota, Metazoa, Chordata, Lepidosauria, Squamata, Viperidae. The record is from RefSeq and is a predicted model, not a curated record.